GUGUUUGCUUCUGCAGCACAUACGCUAAACCUGGAACCAAGAAGAUUAGCAUGGAACCUGUAGAAGGAUGCUAUGGAAAUUUAUGAAGUACUCCAGUUACAU
Molecule: small nuclear RNA, 102 nt
Organism: Microtus ochrogaster (prairie vole)
Lineage: Eukaryota; Metazoa; Chordata; Mammalia; Rodentia; Cricetidae
Source: Ensembl